Molecule: ribosomal RNA, 429 nt
Filed under: uncultured bacterium
Lineage: Bacteria
Description: bacterial SSU rRNA
Rfam family: Bacterial small subunit ribosomal RNA
Source: RNAcentral
GAUGAACGCUGGCGGCGCGCCUAACACAUGCAAGUCGAACGGCACCCCUCUCCGGAGGGAAGCGAGUGGCGAACGGCUGAGUAACACGUGGAGAACCUGCUCCCUCCCCCGGGAUAGCCGCCCGAAAGGACGGGUAAUACCGGAUACCCCGGGGUGCCGCAUGGCACCCCGGCUAAACCCCGACGGGAGGGGAUGGCUCCGCGGCCCAUCAGGUAGACGGCGGGGUGACGGCCCACCGUGCCGACAACGGGUAGCCGGGUUGAGAGACCGACCGGCCAGAUUGGGACUGAGACACGGCCCAGACUCCUACGGGAGGCAGCAGUGGGGAAUCUUGCGCAAUGGGGGGAACCCUGACGCAGCGACGCCGCGUGCGGGACGGAGGCCUUCGGGUCGUAAACCGCUUUCAGCAGGGAAGAGUCAAGACUGUAC